Molecule: long non-coding RNA, 3633 nt
Organism: Arvicola amphibius (Eurasian water vole)
Lineage: Eukaryota; Metazoa; Chordata; Mammalia; Rodentia; Cricetidae
Exons: 3
Source: RefSeq, a predicted model, not a curated record
UUUGCCCACCGUAGAGCCGGCUGGGCCCCGGGGAGCUGGUCUUUCGCUGCAGACUGCAGGGCGGCAUGUAGGCCCUCUCUGCUGGCUGCGCUGGCGGCCCAGCCCCAAAUUAGCAAGUGCCAAGCUUAGAGCGAGUCGGAGUAAGAAGUUCGGCCGAAGUUCUCAGGGUUGGUGCUCUCCUGACGGACGCUGCCGGUGUCGCGAACCCGUAGGAGGGCCCGGGCUGAGCCGAGGACGCCUAACCUUUUCCUCUGGCUUUUUGCCACUGCCCCUCAUCUGUGUCCUAGCUGGGACACGUCAGGUUCAGGAAAUAACACGCGAAAUCAGCACACUGGAGAGCAGGCCUCCCGACCCUCUUGCUACGUUCAGGACAACUGGAAGCUGCUAGUCUACAUUCGUUCGAGUCUGCAAUUCAAGACACAAAACAAUCGGUGAAUGUCUUGACGACCAAGAUUUCCUCUUCUGAUUUGUGAGCCCACUCAGUGUAGGGAUCCUGAAGGGAUCAGGACAAUUUCAGAGCUGAUUCUCUACUACCAUGUGAAUCCCAGGAAUCAAAGGUUGGCAGGCUUGGUGGCAAGCCAUCUUACUGCCCCAAAUCCAGGGUCUUGAGCGUCUGAACACGCCUUCUGUCAUUAAUCUGCACCCACCUUCUGUUGUGUUUUAUGUGUUCGGUGGCCAUAUAAUCACUUUCCUUUUCCUCCCUCCCGACAACUCGGCCUUUCCCAUUCGGGAUCAUUUGCUUUCGUUCGAAGAUUUCUUUAGGUUCUGCAAACCUCUGCCCAGAAACUGAAUACACACCACUGGCUUGUUUGGUUUGGGGUUGGGAGAGUCGCUCUUUUGGUUUUGUUGGUUGACUGGUUAGUUUAAAGUAGGGUCUCACUUUGUAGCCCUGGUUGGCCUGGCACCCACUAGACCAGGCUUCCCUCAAACUCAUAGAGAUGCACCUGCCUUUGCGUCCCAGGUCUUGGGAUUAGAGCUGUUCAAUACUAUGCCUAACUGCUUUUGAAUUUUGUAAGACAGGGUCCAGGCUGAGAAACCUGCUGUGUACUGGAGGAUAGCCUUGAAAUGGUCAUGUUGCCUCCAUCUGUCAAGUGCUGAGAUUCCAGCUCAGCGGUACCGUGUUUCUAAUCAACUUCCAGGCUCACUCUGCUAUCUACACUAGCUUUCGCCCUGUAACCAAGAGUUGUAAGGGUAUAAGACACUAUACUCUGUGACCUGCAAGACUUAUUCUUUGCAGACAUUUACCUCCCCUGCUUCAAAGUUUGCUUUUGUUUUGGACUGCUAGUAAAUUUCAUUUUUGUUCAUCUGGAAAGAUGUUUAUUCUGUUGCAGUAUUAGAUAAUUUUUUUUUAUUCUGCUACUCCCAAGAAGUCAGGUUUCAGGUUAUCCUCAUUCCUUAAUGUUAGCUACUUAAAUUUUGGGGGUUUUGAAGUAUACAUGUUUCUUCAUUCUUCUAGGAGUUCAAUGACAAUUGUUAUUGAGAAUCCACAAACCCCUUUUUCCCCCUGUCCCGCAAAAAAAAAAAAAAAAAAAAAAAAAAAAAAAAAAAAAGCCAAUCCUGUGACAAAUGUCUGUAGCACUUGAAAAAAGGAAGAAUGAAGAUCAGAAAUCCAAAGCCAGCCUUGGCCUCAUAGUGAGUCCACCAAUCCAGGUUACAGUGAACUUGCCUUAAAAAGAAAGAAAAGGAAAAGAAAUUACCAUCUGUGUGAUGGUAUCCUCCUCUAAUCCUAGCCCAUUUGGGAGACUGAGGCAAGAUGAACAAGAAAAUAAAAAAUCCAAAGUGCUCUGGCAUUGCCCACCUGAACUGAUAGGAACAUGUGUUGAAGGUGGUAAAAGUGCUUGUUGUGCAAGGCUAACAGCCUGAGUUCAACACCCAGACCCAACGGGAAGGAGCGAACCAACUCAGGAAAGUUAGCAUUGACUCCAGGUGCCCACAUUCACACACACAAACAUAAAUACAAUUAAAACCAGGUGCUGGUGGUGCAUGCCUUUAAUCCCAGCACUCAGGAGGCAGAGGCAGGCAGAUUUCUGUGAGUUUGAGACCAGCCUGGUCUACAAGAGCUGGUGUCAGGACAGGCUCCAAAGCUACAGAGAAACCCUGUCUCGAAAAACCAAACAAAAGAAAAAGAAAAGAAAAUGUCCUGUAUACAACAAGAAUUAUGCUGUCUACAAUAUUUAUUAUGUCCCGAUGGGAUCCUAUUUUUGUGAGUCAUAUUAGAGGUCAUACUCAACUACCUGGACCCCUGGCCAAGGGUAAUCAACUCACAGAUGCAUAUACCUGAAUAUUAUUUGCCAGCCCCGAAGAAAAAGCUUCUAAACUCCAUACAAAAUAUCACUUAAAUGCUCGUUCUUUGCAGCACCAUACUGGUUGCUUCAGAGCCACUGCCUUACAAAUUACUACCCAAUGUUCUGCCUGUGCUCCUUUUCAUAAUACACCCAUUGCUGGAGUUAAUCCUUGUGGACUUAAACCGAAUGGCAUUUGGCAGAUGGAUGUUACCCACCUACCCUCAGCUGGAAAGCUGAAAUAUAUGCAUGUUUCAGUAGCUACUUACUCUAAAGUAGUUUUUGCUUCGUUGCAUAGUGGAGAGAAAAUUAAGGAUGUGAUAGCUCAUUGCCUGCUGGGUUUUGCUUAUAUGGGCUUACCUAAAAUUAAAGACAGGUAAUGGUCCUGCAUAUACUAGUGGAAAAUUUCAAACGUUUUGUGUAAAUAAUGAUAUUAAACAUAUUACAGGUAUUCCAUAUAACCCUACUGGACAAGCAAUAGUAGAAAUAAUGCAUAUGGUUAUAAAACAGUAUUUCACAAAAAUAAAUAGGGGGGAGUAUAUUCUCUCUCCCAAUAGACAAUUGGCUUCUGUUUUAUUUAUUCUAAAUUUUUUAACUGUGGGUUGUGAGGGUCACUCGGCCAUGGAAAGACAUUGGAAUAAAAGUUCUCAGUCCUUAGGACGGGUAGGAUGGAAAGACCUUCUUACAGGACGGUGGAAGGAGCCCACACCCCUGUUGGGGUGAGAGGAGCUGUUUGUGUUUUUCCUCCAGGAACAGACAAGCCCAUUUGGGUACCAGAGCGAUAUGUUCGGGCUGUGGAAAAUGAUAAGGAUCCUGUGAUGAGCCUGAGAAUGACACCUGUCAUUCUCUUGAUGAGCCUCCUGGUGAGUCCCAAUCAAGUGGAAAGCACUGUGUGAAGCUUGGUAAGAAUCCCUUGUAUUUACCAGUGAGCCAAGCUAGUUCUUUGUAUUCAUCUUUCUAUUCCUCAAACUAUACAGCUGGAACUGCUUUAAGCAAUAUGGUGAUAGAACAGGCUUCUAUUAAUCAAACCUUUUCCUUUGUGAAUGCUUUACGCUUUGUUAAAUUUUUUGGGCUAUGAAUAUUACUUUAAAGGAAUCCUAUGCAAGUGAGUGUAGUUCCUAUCUUUCUUUUAUGGAGUAUUUCUCUGAGAGUCCAGGCACUAUUAAAUCCUGUGUUUGUUUUAGUUUUCUUUCUCUUUUCUUUUCCUUUUUGUAGUAUGGAAUGGCACCAUAGAGGCUUUACUACACAGCCGUCGAUGGCCCACAGGUGAAAAUCCCAUCCUCUGCUCCUCUAGGCAAGGCACAGCUUCUAGUAACUUCAAUUAGAAGGCUCUAGACAGGGAAGAGCAGCU